CGGGCGGUAGCUCAGCUUGGUAGAGCUUCCGGCUGUAGCCCAGCCUACCAAGCGUACAUGUGGGUGCAGAAACCGGAGUGUCGCAGGUUCAAAUCCUGCCCGCCCGACCA
This 110-nucleotide transfer RNA is filed under the name Candidatus Bathyarchaeota archaeon. Its description in RNAcentral is "tRNA-Tyr". It matches the Rfam family "tRNA". From Rfam's summary of the family: Transfer RNA (tRNA) molecules are approximately 80 nucleotides in length. Their secondary structure includes four short double-helical elements and three loops (D, anti-codon, and T loops). The record is from RNAcentral. Lineage: Archaea; Thermoproteati; Candidatus Bathyarchaeota.